This 340-nucleotide ribosomal RNA is filed under the name uncultured bacterium. RNAcentral's name for it is "bacterial SSU rRNA". It matches the Rfam family "Bacterial small subunit ribosomal RNA", at positions 8 to 349 of the family's 1533-position model. The record is from RNAcentral.
AGAGUUUGAUCCUGGCUCAGGAUGAACGCUGGCGGCGUGCCUAAUACAUGCAAGUCGAACGAAUCUCUUUUAGAGAUGAGUGGCGAACGGGUGAGUAAUACAUAGGUAACCUGCCCCUGUGCAGGGGAUAACAGGAGGAAACUCCUGCUAAUACCGCAUAGCCAUGAGCACCGCAUGGAGCUCAUGCCAAAUAUCCUUUCGGGGAUAGCGCAGGGAUGGACCUAUGGCGCAUUAGCUUGUUGGCGGGGCAACGGCCACCAAGGCAACGAUGCGUAGCCGGCCUGAGAGGGCGGACGGCCACAUUGGGACUGAGACACGGCCCAGACUCCGUACGGGAGCA